Molecule: ribosomal RNA, 490 nt
Filed under: uncultured bacterium
Lineage: Bacteria
Description: partial 16S ribosomal RNA
Rfam family: Bacterial small subunit ribosomal RNA
Source: RNAcentral
AUUGAACGCUGGCGGCAGGCCUAACACAUGCAAGUCGAACGGUAACAGGAGGAAGCUUGCUUCUUUGCUGACGAGUGGCGGACGGGUGAGUAAUGUCUGGGAAACUGCCUGAUGGAGGGGGAUAACUACUGGAAACGGUAGCUAAUACCGCAUAACGUCGCAAGACCAAAAAGGGGGACCUUCGGGCCUCUUGCCAUCGGAUGUGCCCAGAUGGGAUUAGCUAGUAGGUGGGGUAACGGCUCACCUAGGCGACGAUCCCUAGCUGGUCUGAGAGGAUGACCAGCCACACUGGAACUGAGACACGGUCCAGACUCCUACGGGAGGCAGCAGUGGGGAAUAUUGCACAAUGGGCGCAAGCCUGAUGCAGCCAUGCCGCGUGUAUGAAGAAGGCCUUCGGGUUGUAAAGUACUUUCAGCGGGGAGGAAGGGAGUAAAGUUAAUACCUUUGCUCAUUGACGUUACCCGCAGAAGAAGCACCGGCUAACUCCGUG